AUUGAACGCUGGCGGCAUGCCUUACACAUGCAAGUCGAACGGUAACAGGUCUUCGGAUGCUGACGAGUGGCGAACGGGUGAGUAAUACAUCGGAACGUGCCUAGUAGUGGGGGAUAACUACUCGAAAGAGUGGCUAAUACCGCAUGAGAUCUACGGAUGAAAGCAGGGGAUCGCAAGACCUUGUGCUACUAGAGCGGCCGAUGGCAGAUUAGGUAGUUGGUGGGAUAAAAGCUUACCAAGCCGACGAUCUGUAGCUGGUCUGAGAGGACGAUCCGCCACAAUGGGACUGAGACACGGCCCAGACUCCUACGGGAGGCAGCAGUGGGGAAUUUUGGACAAGGGGCGAAAGCCUGAUCGAUCAAUGCCGCGUGCAGGAUGAAGGCCUUCGGGUUGUAAGCUGCUUUUGUACGGAACGAAAAGCCCCGGGUUAAUACCCUGGGGUCAUGACGGUACCGUAAGAAUAAGCACCGGCUAACUACGUGCCAGCAGCCGCCGCCG
This 498-nucleotide ribosomal RNA is filed under the name uncultured bacterium. RNAcentral's name for it is "partial 16S ribosomal RNA". It matches the Rfam family "Bacterial small subunit ribosomal RNA", at positions 30 to 523 of the family's 1533-position model. The record is from RNAcentral.